UUGGUUUGUUUCCGGUGGAUGGCUCUCCGCUUAAUUGCGACAACUUCCACCUGGCAUACCUCUUCAGCUGCGUAUCAAGCUCUCGUUGCCUUGAUUGGAUUCUGGGUUUCUGUGUUGCCUACCUAAGUUUACGGUAUUGUUUGGACCCGUCAACCUUUUAUUUCGUCUCGCAUCACACUCGUGGUGUGGGAUGAACCUUGAAGCGGUCUCUUUGUUCCAUCUUGUUGACAUGGACGUGUCAAUGUUGUGGGUCAUUGAGCAUCGCUUGGUAUUACGGAUACGGAACAUGAUGUGGGCACGGGGUCUCUUGGGAUCCUUGUUUUUGCCUAUUUGGGGCGUUAUCGUUCUUUUUAGAUGAUCGUCCAGCCCGAAUUGGCUCGUACCACCGGGUGGAUUUGUAGUCGAGAAAGGACGCUAACGUUCAAGCUUCUCAAAAAAGACGUCCAUCUCGUCUUGGCUUGUACAAGCGGGUUGGGUAUGUCCUAGAGGGAUGCUACCUGGUUGAUCCUGCCAGUAGUCAUAUGCUUGUCUCAA
Molecule: unclassified non-coding RNA, 534 nt
Filed under: Geigeria acaulis
Lineage: Eukaryota; Viridiplantae; Streptophyta; Magnoliopsida; Asterales; Asteraceae
Description: contains 3 external transcribed spacer, ETS
Source: RNAcentral